AUGACUGAACAUUUGGUGUGGGGUCGGUUGCCCAUGGGUACCGUAUUAUCAGCUUGCAGCACGGUACUCAUUGAGCCAUCUGCAGCUGCGUGUGUAAACAAACAGAUAAUGGUUGGGCGAAUAGUUUCUCCACUGUGGGGAGAUGGGUGGCUGCCAAUGAAGAUUAUCAACCCCACUUCAGCAGAAAUAACUCUACGCAGGAACUCAAAAAUUGCAGAUGUUUUCCCCUGCAUUGCUUUAGAGGACUUUGAUCAAUUUUCUGACACUUUGACUGUUCAUCAAAAUGUGGGGAAAGUGCAAAGUAAUAGUUCCUGCUGUAGCCUUACUGCCAGAAGCUUAUGCAGUAACAUAAUCGAUGUGAAUGAUAAGCUGGAGAAGCUAGGGCUUGGCACCAUUCCGAUUGGCAACUGCAAAGUUUCUUUACAGUGUAAGGAGAAACUUGUUGACCUGAUUGAGACAUACGAGUCUGUCUUCUCGAGACAUCAUCUGGAUUGUGGUGAGGCACGGGAUUUCUGCCAUCGCAUUAGAUUAACUGAUGACCGACCAUUUAGGUUGCCAUACCGCAGAUUAUCGCCUGCUCAUUAUCAUAAACUUAAAGAGAGUUUGGAUGAGAUGGAGGCAAAAGAAAUUAUUCGGAAAUUCUGUAGUGAAUUUGCCUCUCCCUUGGUUCUGGUGUGGAAGAAAAAUGGCGAUCUGCGAAUCUGCACAGAUUUCAGAUGGCUUAAUGCCAGGACUGUUAAAGACGCUCAUCCACUUCCACAUCAGAGUGACGUCCUGGCUGCGUUGGGAGGAAACAUGUUUUUUAGCACCAUGGACUUGACGGCUGGCUAUUACAACAUACCCCUUCAUGAACUCGACAGGAAGUAUACUGCAUUCUCGUCACCGCUGGGACUGCACGAAUACAAUCGUCUCCCACAAGUGCUGUAUAAUAGCCCAGCCACAUUUAUGCACAUGAUGCUUACUAUAUUCGGUGACCAGAACUUUUUAAGUCGUCUGUGUUAUCUUGACGAUUUGUUGGUGUUUGCCAAGGCCGAAGAAGAGAGCUUGGCCCGAUUGGAAAUGGUGUUUAGACGCAUGAAAGAACAUAACUGA
This is a long non-coding RNA of Cyprinus carpio (common carp), 1092 nucleotides long. NCBI's taxonomy places the organism in Eukaryota, Metazoa, Chordata, Actinopteri, Cypriniformes, Cyprinidae. The record is from Ensembl.